GUAGGUGGCGAGCGUUAUCCGGAUUUAUUGGGCGUAAAGCGCGUGCAGGCGGUUCUGUAAGUCGGACGUGAAAGCUCCUGGCUUAACUGGGAGAGGUCGUUCGAUACUGCAGGACUUGAGGUCGGGAGAGGGACGUGGAAUUCCCGGUGUAGUGGUGGAAUGCGUAGAGAUCGGGAGGAACACCAGUGGCGAAGGCGGCGUCCUGGCCCGCACCUGACGCUAAGACGCGAAAGCGUGGGUAGCGAACGGGAUUAGAUACCCCGGGUAGUCCACGCCGUAAACGGUGGAUACUAGGUGUUGGUGGCUAUCGUCAUCAGUGCCGUAGCUAACGCGUUAAGUAUCCCGCCUGGGAACUACGGCCGCAAGGCUAA
Molecule: ribosomal RNA, 371 nt
Filed under: uncultured organism
Description: partial 16S ribosomal RNA
Rfam family: Bacterial small subunit ribosomal RNA
Source: RNAcentral